This is a long non-coding RNA of Bufo bufo (common toad), 153 nucleotides long. RefSeq lists it as uncharacterized. Lineage: Eukaryota; Metazoa; Chordata; Amphibia; Anura; Bufonidae. The transcript is spliced from 3 exons. The record is from RefSeq and is a predicted model, not a curated record.
AUGGUAUAAUGAAUAAGGAUCGACCGAUAUUAAUUUUUUAGGUCCGAUACCGAUAAUCUAUGAACUUUCAGGCCGAUAGCCGAUAAUUUAUACCGAUAUUCUGUGAAUUUUCAUUUAAAAAAAUAAAAUAAAUUCCUACACAAAUCUGCUGAA